RNAcentral lists this ribosomal RNA (572 nucleotides) under uncultured bacterium. Its description in RNAcentral is "bacterial SSU rRNA". It matches the Rfam family "Bacterial small subunit ribosomal RNA", at positions 338 to 903 of the family's 1533-position model. The record is from RNAcentral.
CCUACGGGAGGCAGCAGUGGGGAAUUUUGGACAAUGGGCGAAAGCCUGAUCCAGCAAUGCCGCGUGAGUGAAGAAGGCCUUCGGGUUGUAAAGCUCUUUUGUCAGGGAAGAAACGGUGGGAGCUAAUAUCUCUUGCUAAUGACGGUACCUGAAGAAUAAGCACCGGCUAACUACGUGCCAGCAGCCGCGGUAAUACGUAGGGUGCAAGCGUUAAUCGGAAUUACUGGGCGUAAAGCGUGCGCAGGCGGUUUUGUAAGUCUGAUGUGAAAUCCCCGGGCUCAACCUGGGAAUUGCAUUGGAGACUGCAAGGCUAGAAUCUGGCAGAGGGGGGUAGAAUUCCACGUGUAGCAGUGAAAUGCGUAGAUAUGUGGAGGAACACCGAUGGCGAAGGCAGCCCCCUGGGUCAAGAUUGACGCUCAUGCACGAAAGCGUGGGGAGCAAACAGGAUUAGAUACCCUGGUAGUCCACGCCCUAAACGAUGUCUACUAGUUGUCGGGUCUUAAUUGACUUGGUAACGCAGCUAACGCGUGAAGUAGACCGCCUGGGGAGUACGGUCGCAAGNUUAAACCGUA